AGUUUCAUACCUAGGAGAAGCUGAUGAUCGCUUAGUGAACUGAUGCUUUCGGUAAACACACUUACUUCUCCUACACCGAGAAGCGCCCAUAAACACUCAUGCCUUCUUCUCAUUAAUGCGAAAGUGAGACCUGAGGAGACUGCUGUUUAAAUGGGAGGUCGGAAGUUGAGAGAGCAAGUCAGGACAUACGUUCCUCUGGCAUAUAAUCCUGGGCUUUUAUUUAAUUUAAUGUUUUUUAUUUUAACCGUAACUGGUUAUUUCAAUUAAUUCUAAAUCGUUGGCUCCUUUUUUUUCUUAAGUGAGAGAAGCCCCCUUCUCAGUAAAACUUUCCCAUAUAAGAAAACUGACUUUAAAUGACACAGUGGGGACAGCUAUGUCACCCCAGGGCCCUUACUUUGCCUGUGUAGUGACCAUUUGGCCACCCCCUAGAGAGCAUCCUGCUAUCUCUCUUUCAAAAUAAAUUGUUUCUGGAAAGUGCCCUCCUUAUCAAGAUCCUUUUACUGUGAGAUACUUGCCCAAGAAGCUGUGAUCGAGUGGAAAAUUAAAACUCCCAACUGUUGUGUGAGAGAAAGCCUUUACACAAUCGUGUAUAUGCAUUCCUAAGUCCUUGCAGAGAAAAUAAGAAUCAAAUUACAUCCAUUGUAUGACAUUUUCUUCCCCUCCUUUGAACACUGCUUGCUUAUCACCAGGGCCAGUAUCCCGUCAUCACUGUAUUCACGACAAAGCCAGUCCAUCUGAAAAGAGAAGAGCUGGACACCCAUUCCAGUUACUUUGAAGAAGAUUUCUUUUUAGGUAGAAUAAAUAAAAGUAGUGUCACCAGAGUCUCCCUGUGCCAUUGAACACUGGUUCUAUUGCUUAAGUACCAGGAGACAGAGUUUCACAUUUGUUGACUUAGUCAUUAUCGUCUUUGUGUUAUCUGGAACAGCACUGACCAACCAAGGAAAGGGCUCCAUUAAUAAAGUACUUACUGUGCGAUCCUGAGGAAGGGAAUUUGAUUCUCCAAAAUGCUCUCUAAAGCCAGAUGUGGCGGCCGUGUCCCUGCCACGAAAAGAGCCAGAAACCACUGAGUACACAGAAACUCCAGAGCCACCUGGGUUGGAAUACGCAGCAGUAAACAACAAGAGACCCUGCCUCAAACGUGAUAGAAGACAAGAACUAAAACCCAUACAUGCCGUGACACUUGUGUGCCUCUAUCACGUACAAAUACACAUGUGCAUGUGCGUACACGCACAACAAGCAUGAGCAAACACACUUU
Molecule: long non-coding RNA, 1255 nt
Filed under: Mus musculus (house mouse)
Lineage: Eukaryota; Metazoa; Chordata; Mammalia; Rodentia; Muridae
Description: long non-coding RNA chr17:69275157-69276412
Source: RNAcentral